Non-coding RNA from Pelobates cultripes (western spadefoot toad), 82 nucleotides. NCBI's taxonomy places the organism in Eukaryota, Metazoa, Chordata, Amphibia, Anura, Pelobatidae. The record is from the annotation of a GenBank genome assembly.
AUUACCUACUUGUUGUCCCCAUAUAUAUAUAUAUAUAUAUAUAUAUAUAUAUAUAUAUAUAUGGGGACAACAAGUAGGCAAU